Molecule: long non-coding RNA, 3300 nt
Filed under: Triticum aestivum (bread wheat)
Lineage: Eukaryota; Viridiplantae; Streptophyta; Magnoliopsida; Poales; Poaceae
Description: long non-coding RNA (TAES_LNC012555)
Source: RNAcentral
AACCACUUCCAAGUGAACCUUCACAAACAACACAGUAUUACGUCUAAAAGAUAGCAAGUAAAUCCGGAGUAUUUCAGUUUUGAGCUGAUGUUUUUUCCCUAGAGGCAAGGUCAAAGAUAGCAAAGUUUUACUUUUGAAACAAAGGCAGCAGUGUAAUUAUUAGCCGUCAUUAAAAUCAAUAUUGUCUCAUGAAAAUGCCUACCCUGUUGACCCACUAAUGGCAAUUACAAAAAUGUUUGGUUCAUCACGCCUAAUUCAAAUUAGCUUCAAUGCCUCAUGUUUACUUCCAUAGCCUGAACUGAUAAAUCACUGAAACCUCUUCUCUGCUAAACCUAUGUCUACUUCCUAAUCAACACCCGAGUAAUAACAUGGUAGAUCGUCAUACAUGUUUAUCUCCUGUUUUCUUGAUGUCUGAGUAACAGUAUAUGCAUGUGUACUCUACAGUUUAAACAAGCUCAAUGCCCUACUAUUCUGGUUGAUAGCUGACUGUUGAGUCAUUGGCACUAAGGUUGCUAAUAGAAAGGCGCACUUACAGAGAGUCCAUGAACAAGAUAGCAAGCAGAAAACAUAACAUAAAAUAGAGAUGCAAUUCCCCUUUGUACUAUGAUGUAUAUGCUUUUUUAGGGCAAACCAUAUAUCUUCAGAAAUUUGUACCUUAUCAGCUAUUUGAUUUGGUUACCGCAGUUCGGUCUUUUCCCUCUUGUGAGUUCUGCACCAUCCUGACAUGAUUCAUCAACAACCACCUAGAAACGAUCAGCAGAAAAACAAAAUCAAAGUGAAAUCAAUGGAAUCGCAUGUAGGUAGUAGCGAAGUACGAUAUGUGCCACUCCAUUGGCACUUUGCCUAUACACCAUGCAACAUCAAGUGAGGCAUGAGCAAUAAAGUGAUCAGAUACCAACAUCAUGUAUUAAGCACAAAUCAUGAAUCAAUACUAGAGGACCAAAUAGUGUCACCACCUCUGUACUAACAACCAGACAUUUUUUUAGAAGAACAGGGAGGCUCUAACAACCAACAUUUUAGCAUGUCAUCUGUUUACCAAGCAAAACCACAAUAGCUAAAUUUCCCAAGAGCAUACUUUCAGAGAAGCACAGUCCAGAUCAUACACCCACAAAAUAAACGGCUUGGUUUUCAACUGGCAUAAUGAUUUCCUCCCUGCCGCAAGCCUCUACCUACAACUUUAAACUGAACCAUCAAGUUAGCACGGCAUUUUUUUACAGAAGUAUUGCUAUGGCAGUCUAAUUUCCCAAGGGCAGGAGUCUAAUAUACUUUCAGAAUGUGCAGUUCAGAUCAUGCAGUUAGAAAUAAACUUUAUGGUAGUAACUCUACAUGACUUGCUAUUCAAUUAUCUUUUCUAGUACCCAUUUUGAACACCACACAAUGAUUAGCUCCUAUUAUGUAAGGUCACACUAUUUAAAUCGAGAAUUGCUCGCAUUUCAUGAUUUUUUUAGUUAUCCUAGUAGUGUUUACUUGCACAUCAGGAGUAUCACAGUUACAGCUAAAGAGGCAUUGUCCUAUCAUAAUUUAAAUAUCAGAAGCUAACAGCGGUAAUGUAAAUACAUAUGGUCGAGACAUAAUUUUGUAGCACAACAUGUCAGAGAGGCAAUAGAUUACAUUUGAAGGCACCCAUACAAGAUUAUUACAAGAGCAGACACAAGGAUCAGAACACCAAGUAACAAUUAGAAUCUGUAUUGCGAGCUCCCUUCCCCCAUUCUAUUUUUGCUUGACAUUCAAACAUAAAACAAAGUAAUUCUUUUUAAUUUCCAAAGCACAGGUGAAUAUGACAAUACAGCUUGUCGAACCAGUACAUUGACUCAUAGCUCUGUGUCUAACAUUCAACUCUAAAAUUAAGUAACUCUAUUUUGUUCUUUAAUGAAAACAAAAAGGACCUCAGAAAGCCCAAGUAGCACCAAAAAAAUAUAACACAGGAGAUAAAAAAAACACUGAAGCAUCAGAGUAGGGAGUAAUUAUCAAAUAGAAACAAAAGGAAAAGAAAAGCAAGAAUCUCCCUUCCCCCAUCUGUUUUUGUUUUCUUUCACUUAUAUACACCAGACCAAUAGACAAGCACUUUAACUAUAAAAAACAUAAUUCCUACUUCAAGAACACAAUUGAAUAUUGGAGCACCACACACUACUCUUCGUAAAGCCUGUUCAUGCUAACAGUAGUAGAUUCUUGUAAUCACACUUCAUGUUCUAUUUUCUAAAUAAAAUAAAUGAUCUCACUAUAGCAGAAAACAUACAUGCAUAUAGCUGACUGAAUUACCUCGCAAAGCUUCUGUUCUUGCAUUUCUACAUCGCCCUUGGUGCUGAAAAUAUAUAAAACAUCAGGCCAACGCUUAACAAGAUUUUGAUAUACUUCAGGUGAUAGGAACUAUCUACACAAAUAUAGGAUUAUGCAUAUGGAUAGUUAGCAUGCAGCAGUCAGUUUCACAGGAAGUUGCCGAUGAGCAUCCUAUUGCUGCCCUUGUUCUCAUAUAUGGGAACGUACACAGAUCCAUCGAGCAGAACCAUCAGCUUGCUGUCAUUCAUUCCUUGAGACCCACAGCAACAUAAUUUGGCACACAUAUUGGGAUUACUAACAAGCUGACCUCCAGAUCCUUUCUGGAUACACCAAUACUCAGAUUUUUUUUCUUAAAAGAAAAGAAUGAAAACUAAGAUAUCUUAGUGGGAACUACUAAUAUGAGAAGUUAUCUGAUACACAACACAAUGACCACUCGAUAUAGGAUAAAUUGUUCCAUUGGGAGUAUCUUCUAGAUUUUUUACUUUCUUUUGAUCCAAAGUAGGCGCUGGGACAAAGUAAAUCUUUAAACACUUUUGUAGUAGAUUCAAAACAAUAAGAAGUCAUUUAACUGGCAGAACAUAGCAUUAUGAAAAUAUAUAGCAAAGUCAUUUUUGUGUAUGCUAGUUGCAACAUCGACACAACACAUAUUCUAGCAAACAGACCUAUGUUCGACACAUUCUACCACAAAGUGCCUGUCCAAAGAUCCUAUAUUUUGGUACAGAGGUUGUACGUCACAAACCAUCUAUCCUAUCAUCAGUGUAUGCAGUAUGCAGUACACCAUUUUCCAUAGCUGGAAAGAGACCAUGCAUCAUAAUCUGGUCACAAUAUGUUGACAGAAGUGGUUAUCUGGACAAAAUAGGGAGGCACACCUUCACAAAACAGUUCUUAGUAAUUAUAGAAUGCCCUCUAUUAACUGAAGUAAAAUCAAGCAUGUAUGUGUGCUCACUGAAAUGUAUAUGCACCAUUGCCGAUUGAAACAAGAUACACACAGCCGAUUGAUAACCGACAGUUGAAUUAUUGGCG